RNAcentral lists this RNase P RNA (383 nucleotides) under Oscillospiraceae bacterium. Its description in RNAcentral is "partial RNase P RNA component class A". It matches the Rfam family "Bacterial RNase P class A", at positions 40 to 367 of the family's 367-position model. Rfam says of the family: Ribonuclease P (RNase P) is a ubiquitous endoribonuclease, found in archaea, bacteria and eukarya as well as chloroplasts and mitochondria. Its best characterised activity is the generation of mature 5'-ends of tRNAs by cleaving the 5'-leader elements of precursor-tRNAs. Cellular RNase Ps are ribonucleoproteins. Lineage: Bacteria; Bacillati; Bacillota; Clostridia; Eubacteriales; Oscillospiraceae. The record is from RNAcentral.
CAUGAGGAAAGUCCGGGCUCCGCAGGGCAAGGAUAACGGGUAACGCCCGCCGAAGGCGACUUCAGGAAAAGUGCAACAGAAAUAAACCGCUGCCGCCGGGUACGCAAGCGUACUCAGCGGCAGUAAGGGUGGAAAGGCGAGGUAAGAGCUCACCCAUCGGCUGGAGACUGUCCGAUGCUGUAAACUCUAUCCGGAGCAACACCGUGGGAGGACACAAGAUCAUGGUGCGGCCGCGAUGAGCGUCCGUGCGUGAUGGAAUCGCGUACGCGCGGUUCCCGGCUGGCCCGGCCGUCCUCAAGGAGGUGGCUGGAGCGGUCUGGCAACAGGCCGCCUAGAUAGAUGACUGUCAAAUACAGAACCCGGCUUACAGUUUUGCUCACGCA